GCAUAGCCCUAAACUAAAGUAUUUUAUAUUACAUUUUACUCGCCAGGGUACUACGAGCAUCAGCUUAAAACCCAAAGGACUUGGCGGUGCUUUACACCCACCUAGAGGAGCCUGUUCUAUAACUGAUAACCCCCGUUUAACCUCACCCUAUUUUGCUUAAUCAAUUUAUAUACCGCCGUCGUCAGCUUACCUUGUGAAAGAAAAAUAGUGAGCAGAACUAGUUAUAACUCAAAACGUCAGGUCGAGGUGUAGUUUAUAAUAGGGAAAGAAAUGGGCUACACUCAUUAAUUAAUGAAUACGGAUGGUAUAUUGAAACAUAAACCUAAAGGAGGAUUUAGCAGUAAGAAGAAAAUAGAGUGUUCAUCUGAAAUCGGCUCUAAAGCGCG
RNAcentral lists this ribosomal RNA (386 nucleotides) under Hippocampus trimaculatus (longnose seahorse). RNAcentral describes it as "partial 12S ribosomal RNA". It matches the Rfam family "Bacterial small subunit ribosomal RNA", at positions 794 to 1383 of the family's 1533-position model. The record is from RNAcentral. Lineage: Eukaryota; Metazoa; Chordata; Actinopteri; Syngnathiformes; Syngnathidae.